This 72-nucleotide transfer RNA is filed under the name Camelus bactrianus (Bactrian camel). It matches the Rfam family "tRNA". From Rfam's summary of the family: Transfer RNA (tRNA) molecules are approximately 80 nucleotides in length. Their secondary structure includes four short double-helical elements and three loops (D, anti-codon, and T loops). RNAcentral also lists the same sequence under 3 other names. Lineage: Eukaryota; Metazoa; Chordata; Mammalia; Artiodactyla; Camelidae. The record is from Rfam by way of RNAcentral.
GAAGGUACAGCUCAGUGGUAGAGUGCAAGCUUAGCAUGCAUGAGGUCAUGGGUUCAAUUCCCAGUACCUUCA